RNAcentral lists this ribosomal RNA (423 nucleotides) under uncultured bacterium. RNAcentral describes it as "partial 16S ribosomal RNA". It matches the Rfam family "Bacterial small subunit ribosomal RNA", at positions 359 to 774 of the family's 1533-position model. The record is from RNAcentral.
GAAUUUUGGACAAUGGGCGCAAGCCCGAUCCAGCAAUGCCGCGUGCAGGAUGAAGGCCUUCGGGUUGUAAACUGCUUUUGUACGGAACGAAAAGCUUUGGGUUAAUACCCUGCAGUAAUGCCGGUACCGUAAGAAUAAGCACCGGCUAACUUCGCGACAGCCGCCGCGGUAAAAAGUCGGGUGCAAGUGUUAAUCGGAAUUACUGGGGGUAAAGCGUGCGCAGGCGGUUGUGUAAGACAAAGGUGAAAACCCCGGGCUCAACCUGGGAACGGCCUGUGGGACUGCAAGGCUAGAGUACGGCAGAGGGGGGUGGAAUUCCGCGUGUAGCAGUGAAAUGCGUAGAUAUGCGGGGGAACACCGAUGGCGAAGGCAACCCCCUGGGCCUGUACUGACGCUCAUGCACGAAAGCGUGGGGAGCAAACA